UACGGACUGAGAUAAUGGUUAACAGAGACAAACGGGGGCAUUUGUAUGGUCCCGUGAGAGGUGAAAUUCUUGGACCGUGGCCAGACAAACUACAGCGAAUGCAUUUGCCAAGAAUGUUUUUAUUAAUCAAGAACGAAAGUCAGAGGUUCGAAGGCGAUCAGAUACCGCCCUAGUUCUGACCGUAAACGAUGCCAACUAGCGAUCCGCCGAUGGAAAUUAUAUUGCCUUGGUGGGGAGCUUCCCGGAAACGAAAGUCGUUCCGGUUCCGGGGGAAGUAUGGUUGCAAAGCUGAAACUUAAAGGAAUUGACGGAAGGGCACCACCAGGAGUGGAGCCUGCGGCUUAAUUUGACUCAACACGGGGAAACUCACCCGGCCCGGACACUGUGAGGAUUGACAGAUUGAUAGCUUUUUCAUGAUUCAGUGGAUGGUGGUGCAUGGCCGUUCUUAGUUCGUGGAGUGAUUUGUCUGGUUUAUUCCGAUAACGAGCGAGACUCUAACCUACUAAAUAGUUGGUACAUACUCUUAGUGUAUACAGCUUCUUAGAGGGAUUUGCGGCGUUCAGCCGAAAGAAAUUGAGCAAUAACAGGUCUGUGAUGCCCUUAGAUGUCCGGGGCUGCACGCGCGCUACACUGGCAAUUUCAACGUGCUUGUCCUACCCUGAAAGGGGCGGGUAAACCAUUGAAAAUUUGCCGUGAUUGGGAUCGGAAAUUGCAAUUAUUUUCCGUGAACGAGGAUUUCCAAGUAAGUGCGAGUCAUCAGCUCGCGUUGAUUACGUCCAUGCCCUUUGUACACACCGCCCGUCGCUGCCCGGGACUGAGCCAUUUCGAGAAAUUUGGGGACCGUUGAUUUAAUUUUUCUAAAUUACUUUGAUGGAAACCAAUUUAAUCGCAGUGGCUUGAACC
Molecule: ribosomal RNA, 903 nt
Filed under: Meloidogyne incognita (southern root-knot nematode)
Lineage: Eukaryota; Metazoa; Nematoda; Chromadorea; Rhabditida; Meloidogynidae
Description: SSU rRNA
Rfam family: Eukaryotic small subunit ribosomal RNA
Source: RNAcentral